Acanthaster planci (crown-of-thorns starfish) is the source of this 1325-nucleotide long non-coding RNA. The record is from RefSeq and is a predicted model, not a curated record. NCBI's taxonomy places the organism in Eukaryota, Metazoa, Echinodermata, Asteroidea, Valvatida, Acanthasteridae.
CAGUGAAAUACAGAAGGUACAGCAUACUGUAGAACAGCUCGUUUCCAGCACACAUGGUGAAGAGAACCGGCUAGGAUACAAGCAAGAAACAAUGGAAAGAUAUCAAAGGCGACGUCCUGAAGAGAUCACAAGAGGGCGGAGAUGACGAUGAAUGACGACACCGAUAAUUAACUGAUAAUCAUGCUGCAUUGCCUCCCCAACAACGCGGUCCUCUCUCAACACUCGGCAACCUUGGCAGCUUCCACUUCAAGAUGUCAGCUGACGUCACUGCCUUCCAAACCCGUUAAGUUUCACGUGUGGGUCACCGACUGUGGUCUCCCCGGGGCUGGUUACAGCAGCCUUCAACCAUGGACAGAUAUCACAGGGUUACCCUCAUCGUCGUUACAAAUGCAGCACGAAGGUUCCAAUUCCAAUCUGGAAUUUGAACUGUUCAAGAGGACGUGGUCACUUCCGUCUGGUCACACAUCGAGGGGCACUGUCGUGACCCCGUUUGACUUUUGACCCCCAAAACCUCCACGGCUGAACACAAACGGCAUGGACACGCAUUUGCACUUCAUUCGACAUGGCCACAAUUGGAAAAAUCAAGGCCCUUUUUAUUUUGGAUUCAACAGGAAUUUCAGAACAAACAUACAGAGGCAGCAGCAUGUAUUAUCAGAUUUUAUUACAAAGUGGUUUUUACCGAGUGUACAAAGUCAAAAUAUUUGUCGUUCUUCCUUCCAACAACCUGUAAUUUAAUCAUUUUUGUCCAUGUGCCGAAUCCACCUAAUUUUCCUUGCGUGCAAAUAGUUCAGAAUUCUUAGAAUGCAUCAGUGCUGUUUAAAGCAACGACAACCAACAAGUUUGCGAAGUUAUCAACCUUUUGACAUCGUGUGCCAUCACGUAAGGUCUCGUUCAUUGCCCAAGUCUAGAAUUCCUGUACAAGUUGAAGUUACUCAAGAAGUUAGAACUGUUACAAUUCGAUUGACCUCAGUUGACCUCACUUUAAUUUGUCUCAUGAAAUAUAAACCACUUGAGCAGUAACCAAUACCUACCAAGUUUAUUGCACAAAGAUAACAAGUGCAUGUGUAUGUAUACCGUUUGGUACGUGUAAGUAACACUUGAACUAAGGGUUGAUGCUGAUCUCAAAAUAAGGUUUAUUGGUAGACAUGUUACUUGUUUUUUAAAUGGAAGAGCAUGUGGAAAAAUAGAAAUAUUAUUUUGGUGCGUUGGACAGCUUGAGCUGAAUUUGUGUGCGGAGAUUUUCUUUGGCGCUUGUCAACACACAGCUCAAUUCUGUGCGCUUGGUUUGAAGAAUUAGAAUAAGAUUGGAUGUUGAAUUGAAAAGA